Molecule: ribosomal RNA, 729 nt
Filed under: uncultured eukaryote
Lineage: Eukaryota
Description: SSU rRNA
Rfam family: Eukaryotic small subunit ribosomal RNA
Source: RNAcentral
CGGGUGCACUGAUCCAGCCGGGCCUUUCCCUCUGUGGAACCCCAUGGCCUUCACUGGCUGUGGUGGGGAAACAGGACUUUUACUUUGAAAAAAUUAGAGUGCUCCAGGCAGGCCUAUGCUCGAAUACAUUAGCAUGGAAUAAUAGAAUAGGACGUGUGGUUCUAUUUUGUUGGUUUCUAGGACCGCCGUAAUGAUUAAUAGGGACAGUCGGGGGCAUCAGUAUUCAAUUGUCAGAGGUGAAAUUCUUGGAUCUAUUGAAGACUAACUACUGCGAAAGCAUUUGCCAAGGAUGUUUUCAUUGAUAAGGAACGAAAGUUAGGGGAUCGAAGACGAUCAGAUACCGUCGUAGUCUUAACUAUAAACUAUGCCGACUAGGGAUCGGACGAUGUUAUUCUUUGACGCGUUCGGCACCUUUCGAGAAAUCAAAGUGCUUGGGCUCCAGGGGGAGUAUGGUCGCAAGGCUGAAACUUAAAGAAAUUGACGGAAGGGCACCACCAGGGGUGGAACCUGCGGCUUAAUUUGACUCAACACGGGGAAACUCACCAGGUCCAGACACAGUGAGGAUUGACAGAUUGAGAGCUCUUUCUUGAUUCUGUGGGUGGUGGUGCAUGGCCGUUCUUAGUUGGUGGAGUGAUUUGUCUGCUUAAUUGCGAUAACGAACGAGUCCUUAACCUGCUAAAUAGCCCGUACUGCUUUGGCAGUUCGCCGGCUUCUUAGAGGGACUAUCGG